Lathyrus oleraceus (garden pea) is the source of this 107-nucleotide small nucleolar RNA. NCBI's taxonomy places the organism in Eukaryota, Viridiplantae, Streptophyta, Magnoliopsida, Fabales, Fabaceae. The record is from RefSeq and is a predicted model, not a curated record.
AGGGCAUGAUGUGGGAAUAGUCUCAACAUGUCCUUAUAUCUUUCCUAAGCCUCAAAGAGGGAUUUGACACCGGUCUGUCUAAAAUAGAUUAUCUGGUUUCUUAACAC